Molecule: ribosomal RNA, 269 nt
Filed under: uncultured Eubacteriales bacterium
Lineage: Bacteria; Bacillati; Bacillota; Clostridia; Eubacteriales
Description: uncultured Clostridiales bacterium partial 16S ribosomal RNA
Rfam family: Bacterial small subunit ribosomal RNA
Source: RNAcentral
UUCGUCCAAGUGAAGCAGAGGACAGUGGCGGACGGGUGAGUAACGCGUGAGGAACCUGCCUUUCAGAGGGGAACAACAGUUAGAAAUGACUGCUAAUACCGCAUAUACCUUAGAAUCACAUGGUUCAAAAGGGAAAGGAGCAAUCCGCUGAUAGAUGGGCUUGCGUCUGAUUAGAUAGUUGGUGGGGUAACGGCCUACCAAAGCGACGAUCAGUAGCCGACCUGAGAGGGUGACCGGCCACAUUGGGACUGAGACACGGCCCAGACUCC